Choloepus didactylus (southern two-toed sloth) is the source of this 943-nucleotide long non-coding RNA. RefSeq lists it as uncharacterized. The record is from RefSeq and is a predicted model, not a curated record. Lineage: Eukaryota; Metazoa; Chordata; Mammalia; Pilosa; Megalonychidae. The transcript has 3 exons.
UUGGUGGAAAGCAAAAGUACUCUUACUUGACCACAAAUACUUUACAAGGCAAGGAACUUUAGAGAAGGAUGACAGCAGAAACUAUUAGAAGAUUAAUGAGGAUCCCCAUGGCCUGUUCUUUUAUGGAUUGCCAGGAAAUCUUUCAUCAACGAUAUUUACUGCGCAAGUAAAUCUACAGCGAAAAAAUAUGAAGGGUCUCCUAUUAGUCUGCUUUAAGGCUACGUUACACAGAAAAAAAUGUUUAAGCAACUAAGAGGGAAAGAGAAAGAAGGAGAAUGGAUUUCAAGAGCAUAGUCAUCAAAUGUCAGAUCCCGGGUUAGUGUUUUCAAAGGCCUGUGUUAUUCUGGGGAAAUUUAAAGUGUUCCCCAAAACAUAUAGGCACCAGUGCUGUCAAACCUGUGGUAUAUAACAGUGACAUGCAGAAAAGACACAUCUGGCUCCUGAAAAGUUUAAUCAACUUCAACUACAAGCCAUACUUGAAAGAAAAAUGACAAGCCAGAUUCACCAACCUUGAGGUAGUAGAAUGUAGUCAAUCAUUUGGGAAACGUAAAAAAGAAAGAAAAAAGAGUAAAAUUUGUGAAAAAGAUUGAACAUGUGAAACAUGAAAGGAAUGAGGGGAAAAUUCCUAUAAAAUAGAAAAGAUAAAGUCAUCUUUUCACUUGAGAAUUUUUUUCAGCAUUAAAAUGUACUUUAAAGUUACCUUUAAACAUGAAGAAUUGAUGGAAACCUCAAUUCAACACUCAUCACUAUAGAGUACAUUAUGGAAGAAGCAAGUAUAUUUGUACAGCACCUGGAGGAAGUUAUUCAGCAAAAUAUGAAUUAUAUAAAUUGUUAAUAUCUUCAUUACUGUUGACUUUAGUUAUUACUAUUUUUAGUUUGAAUUUAUUUGUUUUAGGUACAAAGUUACCAUGAAAGCUUGUUAAAAUCUUAUUUACCCCGAGAA